This 465-nucleotide ribosomal RNA is filed under the name uncultured bacterium. RNAcentral's name for it is "partial 16S ribosomal RNA". It matches the Rfam family "Bacterial small subunit ribosomal RNA", at positions 28 to 507 of the family's 1533-position model. The record is from RNAcentral.
GACGAACGCUGGCGGCGUGCUUAACACAUGCAAGUCGAACGGAAAGGCCCCUUUGGGGGUACUCGAGUGGCGAACGGGUGAGUAACACGUGAGUAACCUGCCCUUGACUUCGGGAUAACUUCAGGAAACUGGGGCUAAUACCGGAUAGGAAUCCUUGCUGCAUGGUGGGGGUUGGAAAGCUUCGGCGGUUUUGGAUGGACUCGCGGCUUAUCAGCUUGUUGGUGGGGUAGUGGCUUACCAAGGCUUUGACGGGUAGCCGGCCUGAGAGGGCGACCGGCCACAUUGGGACUGAGAUACGGCCCAGACGCCGACGGGAGGCAGCAGUGGGGAAGAUUGCACAAUGGGCGGAAGCCUGAUGCAGCAACGCCGCGUGCGGGAUGACGGCCUUCGGGUUGUAAACCGCUUUCAGCAGGGGCGAAGCUUGUGGUGACGGUACCUGCAGAAGAAGCACCGGCUAACUACGUG